RNAcentral lists this ribosomal RNA (700 nucleotides) under bacterium Y3. RNAcentral describes it as "bacterial SSU rRNA". It matches the Rfam family "Bacterial small subunit ribosomal RNA", at positions 59 to 739 of the family's 1533-position model. The record is from RNAcentral.
AAGUCGAGCGAGUGGAUUAAGAGCUUGCUCUUAUGAAGUUAGCGGCGGACGGGUGAGUAACACGUGGGUAACCUGCCCAUAAGACUGGGAUAACUCCGGGAAACCGGGGCUAAUACCGGAUAACAUUUUGAACCGCAUGGUUCGAAAUUGAAAGGCGGCUUCGGCUGUCACUUAUGGAUGGACCCGCGUCGCAUUAGCUAGUUGGUGAGGUAACGGCUCACCAAGGCAACGAUGCGUAGCCGACCUGAGAGGGUGAUCGGCCACACUGGGACUGAGACACGGCCCAGACUCCUACGGGAGGCAGCAGUAGGGAAUCUUCCGCAAUGGACGAAAGUCUGACGGAGCAACGCCGCGUGAGUGAUGAAGGCUUUCGGGUCGUAAAACUCUGUUGUUAGGGAAGAACAAGUGCUAGUUGAAUAAGCUGGCACCUUGACGGUACCUAACCAGAAAGCCACGGCUAACUACGUGCCAGCAGCCGCGGUAAUACGUAGGUGGCAAGCGUUAUCCGGAAUUAUUGGGCGUAAAGCGCGCGCAGGUGGUUUCUUAAGUCUGAUGUGAAAGCCCACGGCUCAACCGUGGAGGGUCAUUGGAAACUGGGAGACUUGAGUGCAGAAGAGGAAAGUGGAAUUCCAUGUGUAGCGGUGAAAUGCGUAGAGAUAUGGAGGAACACCAGUGGCGAAGGCGACUUUCUGGUCUGUAA